Long non-coding RNA from Cuculus canorus (common cuckoo), 3702 nucleotides. RefSeq lists it as uncharacterized. The record is from RefSeq and is a predicted model, not a curated record. The transcript has 3 exons. NCBI's taxonomy places the organism in Eukaryota, Metazoa, Chordata, Aves, Cuculiformes, Cuculidae.
CAGCAGUAGCGGCCCUUCUCUUUCACCCAGGAUUUCUGGAGGGCAGGCUGCAGCAGCAGAGCAGCGGUGCUCCAGGGAAGCAGGCAUGGGGAGUGCCUUGGUGCCUACAGUAGAGCUGAACACAUCUUAUAGCAGAGUCGUGUGCAGCCACACUUCUGGAAGACCCAAAGAUGCAAUUACAAGCCUCCUUUAUGAGCAGAAGAGGUUUCAUGUUUUCCUUUUUUCACCUGUUUCCCAAACAAAAUUCAGCAGAAAAUUUACAUGACUGACCAUGCAUAUCAUGGCAAGUUUAUCCCAGCACUACUAUAAGACCAAACAAGCACUACAAGGAAGCAUCUGAGGCAGCUUCUACGUGAAACCACCACUUCAGCCUCUUUACUACCCAAAAAACUGUGCUGCUCAAUCUUUCAACCACUGCCCCUCAAAAGCACUGCUUUUCUUUGUCUGGUCUAUUUGUGACACAACUAAGAUCAGAACCAGGGCAUUUGGGCACUCUCGGAGUACAUUGGUGUUUGCUUUCAACUGAAUGGCCUCAUCAACCUGAGUUUUAAACCAGAUCCCUCACAAAGAUGGGCCCAUGCUGUAUCCAUUCCUGGGAAGCCUUGAAGACUCAACAUCAUUACCAGGGCUCUCUGCCCCACUGAGAAUGAGUGAAAUGUAAACCCACUUGCAUCUAGGAAAGCACAUCAGAUUUUCCCUAACCUUCAGUCUAUAAUUAUUUUUCCCUAUUUCUUUGGAAAUAUAGGCCUUUUAAUGUCAUUCCUGAUUUUUGGCCUUUUCCCAUUCUCCUUGAUUUUAUUAAUUUGCCUGAAACUCCCAUUUGUUUUAUAUUCGUAUUGUCUUGUCUGUCUUUACCUAAACAAGAAUGAAUUAUUUAUGAGAAAAUUAGAGAUAACUCUUAUAUUCUGCUUUUAGUAAAGCUUAUUCAGUCAAACCUAUUACACAAGGAUAAAGAUACUUCUGUAAAGGCAAAACCAUCUGUUUACAUUCAGGAAACACGCAUCUGCUUCAGAAUAUAUUCUCGGUUUCAUCAACCAGCACCAUUACUGUGAUCCCACAACUAUAUCCUGUGCCAAAAGAAUUGAGAGGGGUGAAAUACGACUGAAACCACAAAUAUCAAAAAAGGUAGUUAAUAGUGCAUCUCCAGCAGCACAUUAGCGACCCAUUCUGGGGCACCAGUUCUGUACAAAACAACCACAACAAUUUGUUUUAAGCUUUAUUUUACAGUAUUGUCUCACUCUGGUACAAAGUCUCAUAUUGUUUGGUUUGUGAAAUCUUACAUGAUCACUUUUAGAGCGAUAGCUCCAGACUGCAGUAAAACAAACCCUUCUUCAUAUACAUCUCACUGAUAAAGCUUAAUUCAAUUAAACUGGCCAUUAAGAUUAGUGUAAAUUGAAUUGCUCUAUUUCAGACUAGCUGAUAAUCAUUUGACACACACGAAUAAAUACGGUGUUUCCAAACAGAAUGACUUAUGGUGCUCAGUUGGACACUGUUCCCCUCUCUUGUUCUUCACCUCCAACACAUCAAAGAAAUUACACAAUAAUUUGCUCUAGUAUGCUUGUCAGAGCUUUGCUGGUUUGAUCCUGUUUAAUUAAACACUCCUGAGUCUGUAUACAGAAAGCAAGUUGCAAGUGUUCAGUAUGACAGUACAAACUGACAUAACAUCUAAGGCGUGGAUGGUAAAAUACACUAAAAUAGUCAUAAUUUCAGUUACAAUUAUACAAAAAUCGAUGCAGAGAUAGGACCUGAAUCCAAGCUCAGAAAAGAUUCAUGAAAGAACAGAAUCAGAGGCUAAUCUGCAUUGUUAAGGGUUUUAAUCUUUAAAAGAAAAGUAAUCACACAGUGAUAAAAGGGGGUUUUCCCUUACUAUUCUCAAAUUUUUGGCCUAUCCAGAGGACGGGAACAGUUAUUUUUGUACUGCAAGAAAAUAGGUUUGUGGAAAUAACAAACAAAUGUUAUUAUGAGUUUUAGAAGAAUGAUUCCUAAUUCAUUGAAUACUAGUAAUCUUUAAAAAUAAAUUAAAUAUAAGGAAUGAUGAAAUUAGUAAUUAAUUAAAAUAUUUUCUUAAUCAGUAAGACUUUGAGCCUAUGCUGUGGAAACUAGUAAGGAGGUAAUAAAAUCAAUAUGAACUUGGUCAAACUUUGCUUUAUUUGCAGUCUCCUUUCAGAAACUCAUAUUUGGAAUACAAGGAUUGUUAUUAAUCUAAAAUUUAUCAACCUACAGAUGGAAUCAGUGAUUACCUUAUGCAGUAUUUUCAAAAUGCGCUACAUGUUUUCAGCUUAACUGACUACAAGACUAACGCAAAACUCUAUUUUCUUGUUUUUCUGCACAAGUUUUUUUUUUUUUCCUCCCCACAGAGCAAAAGCAUAGUAAUGCCAUUUUCUAAGUGCAGUGGCAAAGAUCAGAGCUUUUUAGAAGAGACACUCUGAAGAGACAUGUGGAUCUCACCUUUGUUCACACGAUGGAGGCGUCAUGUAAGGAAAAAUGUAAACAUUGCCACGCGUGAACAAAUAUGCACUUUGAUCACAUGACUGGAUAUACACAGCAUUGUGAAAAAGACUGAUUUUAUUAUUAUAUAAGGAGGAAAAUGUAUCAAGCAGUAACUGAAACAGAUUCAUUACUCUAAAAAGUGAAAGUAAUCUUUAAAAUUACAGGCUGGGCAUCCUUGACCUAACUGAACCUCAUUCAUGGCAAAUGGCGAAGUUCGAAACCUGUCUUAUUUUGACAAUUUUUGAUUGCUUGCUAUUUUAUCAAGGCUGUUAAAAGAAGGUUAAUGGGGAAUUACAGUCUGAAAAUAUCCAUGUUGAAAGAAACGAGUAACAGCAGGCAGCUAUCAAUACAGAAGAAAAAAAAAAAAUGUUAUAAUGAUAGCAAGAUGAAGUUAGUUCAAAGUAGCAACUGCAAAUUUUUAAGUAGGAUCAAUGCCAAACAAAUAUUUCUGGGUUUGGUGUUCUCUCCAGAUCUUUAAGUCAAGAUUUGAUAGAUUUCUGAAAGAAAAUCUGUAACUCUCAUUUAAAAUUAUGGAUACAGUACAAAAGCUACAAUAAAUGUUACAACGAAGUCAGUCUAAUCUUAACGGCUAUUUUUAACCCUAAAGAAUCGGCUCCAUUACAGUUUUAACUUUUCUUUAGUUCAUGUCUUUACCUCUCUGCAUAUAAAAUUAAUUUCUGUAAUAGUCAUUAAGUAAUUCCUAAAUAACCUCGGACUGAGUGAAGUCCAAUUACUCUUCACAUUGAAUUUGACUCUAAGAAACUCUCCAUUUUUUUCCCCACCUGUAGAUUAAGAAACAACUUUUUUGGGUUGAUAAACAGGCAUUAGCGUAUUUGAAAUUAAAUAGGCAGAUAUUUAAACACAAUAAGCAUAAAACUUUUUUAUGACACAUUCCUUUUUAUGGAGGAUUCCUAAUGGUAUCAUCCUUGUCAAAUACUGCUUACUCUUGGAUGUUUCCUCUUUGAAACAUGGUAAUGACUCACCAAAUGUGACUGCAAAGACAACUCGCCUAUGCACGGAGUACAACUAAGAUAUAAAUACAUAAAUAAAUAAAUGUACAGUUGGGAUUUAAGACAUUUCUACAGUUGAAGUUGGUUUCUUUUUCUUUCGAAGUAUGAACUUUUUACUUUUUUUCUCCUGUUCUACCAGCAGUUUUACAGAUCUUCUUUAAACAAGUAGAAAGCAAGCAGGUGUAGCUAUAAGACAACCUGA